This 497-nucleotide ribosomal RNA is filed under the name uncultured bacterium. RNAcentral describes it as "partial 16S ribosomal RNA". It matches the Rfam family "Bacterial small subunit ribosomal RNA", at positions 28 to 507 of the family's 1533-position model. The record is from RNAcentral.
GAUGAACGCUGGCGGCGUGCCUAAUACAUGCAAGUCGAGCGAACAGACGAGGAGCUUGCUCCUCUGACGUUAGCGGCGGACGGGUGAGUAACACGUGGAUAACCUACCUAUAAGACUGGGAUAACUUCGGGAAACCGGAGCUAAUACCGGAUAAUAUAUUGAACCGCAUGGUUCAAUAGUGAAAGACGGUUUUGCUGUCACUUAUAGAUGGAUCCGCGCCGCAUUAGCUAGUUGGUAAGGUAACGGCUUACCAAGGCGACGAUGCGUAGCCGACCUGAGAGGGUGAUCGGCCACACUGGAGCUGAGACACGGUCCAGACUCCUACGGGAGGCAGCAGUAGCGAAUCUUCCGCAAUGGGCGAAAGCCUGACGGAGCAACGCCGCGUGAGUGAUGAAGGUCUUCGGAUCGUAAAACUCUGUUAUUAGGGAAGAACAAAUGUGUAAGUAACUAUGCACGUCUUGACGGUACCUGAACAGAAAGCCACGGCUAACUACGUG